UACGUAGGGUGCAAGCGUUGUCCGGAAUUAUUGGGCGUAAAGGGCUCGUAGGCGGUUUGUUGCGUCGGCUGUGAAAUCCCGAGGCUCAACCUCGGGUCUGCAGUCGAUACGAGCAAACUAGAGUGUUGCAGGGGAGACUGGAAUUCCUGGUGUAGCGGUGAAAUGCGCAGAUAUCAGGAGGAACACCGGUGGCGAAGGCGGGUCUCUGGGCAACAACUGACGCUGAGGAGCGAAAGCGUGGGGAGCGAACAGG
RNAcentral lists this ribosomal RNA (253 nucleotides) under uncultured bacterium. Its description in RNAcentral is "partial 16S ribosomal RNA". It matches the Rfam family "Bacterial small subunit ribosomal RNA", at positions 524 to 776 of the family's 1533-position model. The record is from RNAcentral.